UAGUGAGGGAGAUAAUGACGGUACUCACAGAAGAAGUCCUGGCUAACUCCGUSCCAGCAGCCGCGGUAAUACGGAGAGGGCUAGCGUUAUUCGGAAUUAUUGGGCGUAAAGGGCGCGUAGGCGGAUUAGUAAGUUAAAAGUGAAAUCCCAAGGCUCAACCUUGGAAUUGCUUUUAAAACUGCUAAUCUAGAGAUUGAAAGAGGAUAGAGGAAUUCCUAGUGUAGAGGUGAAAUUCGUAAAUAUUAGGAGGAACACCAGUGGCGAAGGCGUCUAUCUGGUUCAAAUCUGACGCUGAGGCGCGAAGGCGUGGGGAGCAAACAGGAUUAGAUACCCUGGUAGUCCACGCUGUAAACGAUGAAUGUUAAAUAUGGGAAGUUUUACUUUCUGUAUUACAGCUAACCCGUUAAACAUUCCGCCUGGGGACUACGGUCGCAAGAUUAAAACUCAAAGGAAUUGACGGGGACCCGCACAAGCGGUGGAGCAUGUGGUUUAAUUCGAUGCAACGCGAAAAACCUUACCACUCCUUGACAUGGAAAUUAUACCUAUUCGAAGGGAUAGGGUCGGUUCGGCCGGGUUUCACACAGGUGUUGCAUGGCUGUCGUCAGCUCGUGUCGUGAGAUGUUGGGUUAAGUCCCGCAACGAGCGCAACCCUCAUCCUUAGUUACCAUCAGGUAAUGCUGGGGACUUUAAGGAAACUGCCAGUGAUAAACUGGAGGAAGGUGGGGAUGAUGUCAAGUCAUCAUGGCCCUUAUGGAGUGGGCUACACACGUGCUACAAUGGUGGCUACAAUGGGCUGCAAAGUCGCGAGGCUAAGCUAAUCCCUUAAAAGCCAUCUCAGUUCGGAUUGUACUCUGCAACUCGAGUGCAUGAAGUUGGAAUCGCUAGUAAUCGUGGAUCAGCACGCCACGGUGAAUACGUUCUCGGGUCUUGUACACACUGCCCGUCACGCCAUGGGAAUUGGUUUCACUCGAAGCUAACGACCUAACCGCAAGGAGGGAGUUAUUUAAAGUGGGAUCGGUGACUGGGGUGAAGUCGUGACAAGGUAAUCUGC
This 1051-nucleotide ribosomal RNA is filed under the name Wolbachia endosymbiont of Matsucoccus pini. Its description in RNAcentral is "bacterial SSU rRNA". It matches the Rfam family "Bacterial small subunit ribosomal RNA", at positions 437 to 1504 of the family's 1533-position model. The record is from RNAcentral. Lineage: Bacteria; Pseudomonadati; Pseudomonadota; Alphaproteobacteria; Rickettsiales; Anaplasmataceae.